Molecule: ribosomal RNA, 1800 nt
Filed under: Triticum aestivum (bread wheat)
Lineage: Eukaryota; Viridiplantae; Streptophyta; Magnoliopsida; Poales; Poaceae
Description: partial small subunit ribosomal RNA
Source: RNAcentral
AUGACCGCCGUCGUCAGUCCGCCUAUCCUCCCCGUCGCCGAGGGCGCCCCGAGCUGGGUCCUCCUCGACACCGCGGGAUACAUCGCUAAACGCGGCAACGCCACCUUCGCCAAGACCUUGGGGAGCAACGGCCAGCCCGUCGAGGUGACCUUCUGCACCGCCGCUCCGCCCCACGUCUCCCACUUCUGCGUCCACUGCCCCGGCCUGGUGCCCGCCGACUUCGUGGAGGAUCCCACGCUGAUCGGCGCGGAGGCCGACCUCGUCCUCUUCCGCCUCUGCGUCGACCCCCUGGCCGUCGCCGGCGAGCGCCUCUUCGACUACUUCCUCUACACGGCGCACCCUCGCCGCCCCUCGCUCCAGCUUCUCCCGCACCCCUACCCCAAUCUCUUCCACGACAGCGAGGUCGCCCUCCUGCGCUGCGGUGAGGAUGAUGAGUACGCCAUCGCCGCUCUCAGGAACAUCGAUGAUUACUUCACCGACGAGCCGCAGAUGUCCUUCAACCUUUACCUCUACCGCUCGUCCAGGGCCGGCGAGGGGUGGACUGCUAGGGUGGUGUCGGUGGAGGAGCCACUGAGGGACACCGUCUGCCCGGUGGAGGAGCCCAAGCGGUUUCAUGAGACGACCAAGGCGAUCACGCUCGGAGGCGGCGCCGUUGGCUGGGUUGAUCUCUGGCGUGGCAUCCUCGUCUGCAACGUGUUCGAUGAAAAGCCUGUGCUCCGGGACGUGCCGCUGCUGCUGCCGGCAAGGGGUAACUGGGAAAUCUACCACAGAUGUGGCCCUUACUUUGCUCGGGACAUCACCGUCAGCCCGCAGAAAGACGUCAUCAAGUAUGUCGAGGUUGAAAUUUGCCUGCCAAGGAAGCCGACUACUACAAAGACGACUGAAACCUGCCACCCCCCGGAGCCGGAGUCCUACCUGGAAUGGUUCCGCCAACAGCAGUGCGAAGACGACGACGACGACGACGACGAUGAAGACGUUGGUGGCUGGAAGGCCACAACAUGGAGCUUGCCUGUCCCUAUUGCUUCACGGGAGAACUGGCACUUUGACUACACCGUCGAUGUCGAUGACCUCACUGUCGUCGACCCAAUGCAUUGUAAGCUUCUUCCGAGGCCCCUGCAGCCCACAGAGGCAGAAGCAUUGCUGCCAAGACUUAUCACUGCUUUCCCCAUCAUGAGUAUGGACGAUGAUGUUGUCUACCUUUUGUCCAAGGCCAGCCCCAAAGACCAGAUGGAAGUAGUUAUUGCUGUUGACAUGAGGAGGAAGUUUCUGCAGGGAGUGGCCAAGCUUGUUACGGGGAAAGAUUUCACUUUCAUGCGCAGUUGCAUCAGCGAGAUCUCGAAAUAUAUUAAUUAUAAAUCUUCAGGGGAUGUUGCCAAAGCAUCGGCCAGUUUAUCUGCUGCCAGCAGAAGGGCUGCGGAUAAGGAAACAGAAGAGGUACGGCUGUUGGCAAAAGAAAUACCUUCUCUUCUCUUGGAGCUAGAGCUUCUCGGAUUAGAACAUCAGCACCGCGAUGCUGCCAGCGCUUGCUCAAGGAUGAAGGAUCAUGGCGCAGGGCAAAUGAGACGCAUGCAACCGAAUAUGGCUUUCAUGAGGAUGACACGAUUUGACUUUCAAGAGACGCACCGGCGGCAGUUCCACACCAACUUCUUGCACCAGGGCAGCGGCUCCGAUGCGAUAACCAUUUCAACUCCUCGCCGUCACCUUGGCGGCCACAUUCACUCCUCGGCAACACCUCAACGCUGCGCCGAGCUUCUUGUGCUCCUCGGCCGCCUUGGCCUCCUCCUCGGGGAGCUUCGUUGA